RNAcentral lists this ribosomal RNA (862 nucleotides) under Klebsiella pneumoniae. RNAcentral describes it as "bacterial SSU rRNA". It matches the Rfam family "Bacterial small subunit ribosomal RNA", at positions 1 to 858 of the family's 1533-position model. Lineage: Bacteria; Pseudomonadati; Pseudomonadota; Gammaproteobacteria; Enterobacterales; Enterobacteriaceae. The record is from RNAcentral.
CCUAGAGUUUGAUCCUGGCUCAGAUUGAACGCUGGCGGCAGGCCUAACACAUGCAAGUCGAGCGGUAGCACAGAGAGCUUGCUCUCGGGUGACGAGCGGCGGACGGGUGAGUAAUGUCUGGGAAACUGCCUGAUGGAGGGGGAUAACUACUGGAAACGGUAGCUAAUACCGCAUAACGUCGCAAGACCAAAGUGGGGGACCUUCGGGCCUCAUGCCAUCAGAUGUGCCCAGAUGGGAUUAGCUAGUAGGUGGGGUAAUGGCUCACCUAGGCGACGAUCCCUAGCUGGUCUGAGAGGAUGACCAGCCACACUGGAACUGAGACACGGUCCAGACUCCUACGGGAGGCAGCAGUGGGGAAUAUUGCACAAUGGGCGCAAGCCUGAUGCAGCCAUGCCGCGUGUGUGAAGAAGGCCUUCGGGUUGUAAAGCACUUUCAGCGGGGAGGAAGGCGUUAAGGUUAAUAACCUUGGCGAUUGACGUUACCCGCAGAAGAAGCACCGGCUAACUCCGUGCCAGCAGCCGCGGUAAUACGGAGGGUGCAAGCGUUAAUCGGAAUUACUGGGCGUAAAGCGCACGCAGGCGGUCUGUCAAGUCGGAUGUGAAAUCCCCGGGCUCAACCUGGGAACUGCAUUCGAAACUGGCAGGCUAGAGUCUUGUAGAGGGGGGUAGAAUUCCAGGUGUAGCGGUGAAAUGCGUAGAGAUCUGGAGGAAUACCGGUGGCGAAGGCGGCCCCCUGGACAAAGACUGACGCUCAGGUGCGAAAGCGUGGGGAGCAAACAGGAUUAGAUACCCUGGUAGUCCACGCCGUAAACGAUGUCGAUUUGGAGGUUGUGCCCUUGAGGCGUGGCUUCCGGAGCUAACGC